Molecule: non-coding RNA, 48 nt
Organism: Schistosoma curassoni
Lineage: Eukaryota; Metazoa; Platyhelminthes; Trematoda; Strigeidida; Schistosomatidae
Source: Rfam
AUCAAGCUGAUGAGUCGCAAAUAAGACGAAGUGUCGUGAAUCCUAGAU